This 494-nucleotide ribosomal RNA is filed under the name Hallomeninae sp. UPOL ZL0081. RNAcentral's name for it is "partial 16S ribosomal RNA". The stretch from base 367 to 494 matches the Rfam family "Archaeal large subunit ribosomal RNA", at positions 2542 to 2669 of the family's 2987-position model. The record is from RNAcentral. Lineage: Eukaryota; Metazoa; Arthropoda; Insecta; Coleoptera; Melandryidae.
UUUAAAGUCUGGCCUGCCCAAUGAUUAAUUUAAUGGCCGCAGUAUAUUGACUGUGCAAAGGUAGCAUAAUCAUUAGUUUUUUAAUUGAAAGCUAGAAUGAAGGGUUUAAUGAAAAAUAAGUUGUCUCAAUAUUAUAUUAAUAAUUUUAUUUUUAAGUUAAAAAGCUUAAAUUUGUUAAAAAGACGAGAAGACCCUAUAGAGUUUAAUAUUUAAAUAAAAAAUUAUUAAUGAUUAAUAAAAAAAGUUUUUUAUUUAAAAUAUUUUAUUGGGGUGAUAUAAAAAUUGAAUAAACUUUUUAUUAUUAUUUACAUUAGUUAAUGAUUAUUUGAUCCAAAUUUUUUGAAUGUAAGAAUAAAUUACCUUAGGGAUAACAGCGUAAUUUUUUUUUAGAGUUCUUAUUAAAAAAAAAGAUUGCGACCUCGAUGUUGGAUUAAAAUUUAAUUUUGGUGUAGAAGCUAAAAAUUUUAGGUCUGUUCGACCUUUAAAAUUUUACA